GCAAAGCAGGUGGUUUGCAGCAUCAUGACGCAGUGGAAAGAACAUUUAGCUUUGGAGCCACAAAGAUCUGAGUUUGGUUCCUGGCUUUAUUCCUUUUACACAAAUUAUCAAACUUUAUCUUUCUCAAUUUCUUCACAGUAAAAUGGGAAAAUAGUACCUGUUUUGUCUGGUAGUUAUGCAAAUUCACCAAUAGGACAUAUUAGUUAGUUUCUGUCCCACAAACAUUUAUUAAUCUCCUCUUGUGUACCCAGUACUACACUAGGUGUGUAUCUUGGGAGCGUUUGAAGUCUACAAGGGAACUCACUUUCCCUUCAUUCUCUUUUGGGACCAAAAAAAAAAAAAAUCAAUGUUUGUAGAAUUGUGAGAUGACUUUCUAUUUAUUCCUUGUCUGUGUGCUUUUAAAUACUAAAUCAGAUCUUGCCCACAGGUAGUCUGCCUGGAUUUAGCCGCUAAUGCUGGCUGAACCACUUCUCCCUACUAUUCUGACCCAUUGCCACGCUGGAUAGUGGGCUUAGCAGAGGGAACCCUUUGCAGCUGCCAGUCAUGAGGCAGGAGUGGCCUUAGACCUACCGACCCCUUCAGUGGUGAUUCAGCCUGUCUCAUUCUUAUCUCUGUAAGAAGCUUGAUGUGUAUUUUUUUCCCAUCUCCUUUUUGUUAUUGUUUUGUUAGCAGCUAAAUCUGUGGCUGUUUAGCUUCCAAAUAGCAUCCUGGAGGGACAUGGUCCCAGACCAAGACCUGAGAACAACUGACCACAAUCAUGAAUAGUAAUGAAAUCCUUCCAUUUAUAAUCUCCAUUAUUACUUGUAGGGAAAAUAAGUUAAGACUUGUGUCCUUGAUUAGGGAGAUUGGAAUUAAUUGUGAUGAUUGGACUUGGAGUGUGAGUCUAGAGAAAUAUUAAAUGAAAUUCUAAUGGAAGUGCUUUGGCAAAGGGAUUAUAAAUUAAAGCUUUAAUAUGUGUACUCUAGUUGUUGAAGUGAUUUUAAUAUCAUUUACGUAUUUAAUGAUAGUAAAAUUGUUCCAGUGUCAUCUGGGAUUUGUAAUGAAGAUUAGAACAGUCAGAUCAGAAUUAAAUCUCAUCAUCAAGGAAAGGACAGAACAUUCUGGCCAAUACCUGGAUUGUAUAAUAGACAUCUUUCCCUUUUUUAGUUCUCUUCCAGUGCAGCAGGGCAUGGACAACCUUAUGUUGGAUCAGUAAGGAUUAGCUUGGCUCCAUUUCUAGGACCCUGUAAAUACCAACCUUGCAAAAUUGGCAAUAGGCUGUUCAUAGAUGCAACUUUUUUCGUAUAGGUGACCUCUCAGAUCCUUAGGCAGGUCAGUUUGUUUUUCACAGGACUGUUCUAUUUUCCUCGCUGUCAGCCUUGUAUGAGAAUUAUCACUGUGUCACGGGCAUCCACUGAAUGUUCCAGCUGACCUUUAUUAGGUCUUUGAGGAAAGAUGGAAAAGAACAACAACAAAAAAUAAUUGGCAAGUGACAAGGUGCCAUCAGUGAUUAACAACAAUUUUCUCUGGACAUUUUGUGAUUCUGUUAAAAUAGAAGCAGACCAGAAAUUACCUUGCUUUGAGUGAGAUAAUGCAUGAAAGGCACUCACUCAGCACAGAGCCAGUGCUCAAUAAGUGCAAGCUCUUAUUACCACUAUUUUAUUAUUUGGAAUGAAUGUCACCUAUUUCCCCCUCCUUCUCCCACUUUGGUCCUCACAAACAUCUUUUACUGGUGAACCUCAGUGGUAUGAAGGUAAACAACAUUCAUCCUCUUUUCUGAGAACAGUCUGCCCUGAUGUUGAAGGUGAUAGGACAUGUCAGUAGCCCUGGAAGCUCUAUUCCAGAUUCCGGGUAAUUUUGCUGGGUCAGCCCAGCCUUGCGAACUGGCAGCUGCCUAGAAGAUUGAGGUCAUAUUCUGCAUUAGCCUGCACUGGGAAAUUGCUACAUACAGCCAACAGUCUUCUCUGGCAAUAAGAAAUGAAGAGUAGCCCUGGACCUCCACUUAACAACAUUCCUUUAAACAUUGCAGUCAUAAGCCAGAAUUUAAAUGGGGCACUAACAUGGGAGCCAGCUUUUGAAUAGUUGAAAGCAUUUUGUUAACAAAGUGUCAUUAUUCGGGCCAAGCUAGUGUUGCUACAUUUCUGUUCAACUCAGCUCACCUUGUAGAGAAAAGAAUUUGGAAAUUUUAUAGCUUCUUCUUUUUUGUGUGUGUCUUUUGUCUUUUUAGGGCCAUACCCACAGCAUAUAGAAGUUCCCAGACUAAGGGUUGAGUUGGAGCUGUAGCUGCCAGCCUACACCACAGCUCACAGCAAUGCCAGACCAUUAACCUACUGAGUGAGGCCAGGGAUUGAACACGCAUCCUCAUGGACACCACUUGGGCUCGUUUACCACUGAGCCAUGACGGGAACUCCUGGAACUUUUAUAUUCUAAAUAAUGUCCUUUAUAUUAUUGUGCUGCAGCCGUGGCAUUUCUAACUUCCUGAUGGACAUUUCCACUUGGAUUUCUGGCUGUUCAUACGUGUUCCCAACAUCCUUAUUUCUAUCUGUGCUCUCACCAAUAUUGAGGAACUAGAUAUGUAGUGGUUAAGAGUGAGGGCUUGGGAGGUUGACCGCCUAGUUUUAAAAUCCUGCUAUGGUACUUACUGAGUGUGUGGCCUUGGCCACAUUAUUUGUCUUUUCAAUGGCUUAAUCACCUCAUCUGUGUAAUUGGAAUAAUAACAACAUAUUUAUCAUCAAGUUGUUGUAAGCAGUGAAUUAAACUGCUUAGACCUGUGCCUGGCACAUAGUGUUUGUAUCAGUUUGGUUGUAUUAGGUGCCAAGUAGCAGAACACCAGUUAACAUUAUUGUAGGCAAGAAAUGUAUUUAACUCUCUUUCUUAACUAGAAUACUGGCUAUGGGCAGUUCCAGGUUUGGUGCAGCAGUUCAGUGGUGCCACCAAAGCCCUCAUUUCUUUCUAUCUUCCCUUUUGUCAUUUUUAACAUGCUGCCUUUUCAUCUUCAUGAUUAUCACAUUGUGGUCACCAGAUGUUGCACAUCCAGGCAUCACAUCUGCAUUUCAAGGCAGGAAGAAGGGAGAAGGACAGGGCCAGCAUCUACUGUCCCUCUUGUCAGGAAGACAAAAGCUUUCUGAGAAGCCUCCCAAAGGACUUCUCCCUCUGUCUGAUUGUCAGGAGUAAGUCGCGUGUCCACCCUUGUCUGUGAAAGAAGCCAGGAAAGAAACUGUCUAAUAUCCAGCCUCUGUAAUGGAAGAUGAGUGGGAAAAGAAGAGGGAUGGGCACGGUUGCUGAAGUAACCAGGCCACAGUGAUCGCCACAGUGAUUGUUGCAUGUUAGCUAUUAUUAUUAUUAUUCUAAUUCCUUAAGUUAGAAAUAUUGAAGUUAUUUUUCAUUCUCCUUCCCCCCUCCCACCCCAGCAAACACUCUGUCACUUAAGUUCAGUGUUUUCCAUGCUUUCCUCUUUCUUUCCCUUUAUGCUAUUCCUAGUAGUUAAGGCUUUUCUUAUCUCAUGAGUGGAGAAAUGUUGUGGCUUUUUUUUUUUUUUUUUUUUUUUUUAAAGGGCUGCACUGGAGGCCUCUAGAGGUUCCCAGGCUAGGGGUCCAAUUCCGAGCUACAGCGCCGGCCUAUACCACAGCUGCAGGAAUGCCAGAUCCGAGCUGCCUCUGAGACCUACACCACAGCUCGAGGCAAUACUGGAUCCUUAAUCCAUUGAGUGAGGCCAGGGAUUGAACCUGAAUCCUCAUGCAUCCUAGUUGAGUUCAUUAACCGCUGAGCCACAACGGGAACUCCAUAGUGAAUCUUAACCUUCACUGUACCUCAGAAUCACCUGGGAAGCUUGAUAAAAAUCAGAUGUCUCUUAAAAAUCAAGUGCUGAGCUUAAAAAUAAUAUAUCCCCAAAGCACCCACAGUAUAUGGAAACACAGGGAAAAUAGUAAGUGUAUUGUCAUUUAUGUUCUAUGUCACUCAUUUGGCACAUUAAAUGCAUUUCACCUAAGAUCCGUUAUUAGUUAUCUUUUCAUGUCUAUGUAAGUCUUAUCUCUUCCAGUAGACCAGAAAUUCUUGAAGGCAAAGAUUAUAUAAUACCGUUUUGAGGCUCUCAUUCAUACCACUUUGAGUUCUAAAGAUCUGCAAGAAAUAUGUUGAAGAGUCAGUGACAUUCAUACAAAACAUUCAGUGAUAGUAAAUGUUAUUAAAUAUUGGCUAGAUCCAACAAAAACAUUGGAAAACCUCAAAACACAAGACACUGGGUUUAAAAAAAAAUCUAUGUUUGUCAGACUAGAUAUAUUGUUUGAAGCAAUAGAGCCACACCUGUCAGAGAAAUGGCUACAAUGUAAUAAUAAUGCAGCUAGGUUUUAUAAGAUUCAAAUAGAAAGGAAUAGGGUAGAUUUACCAUAAAUGCAAAACUUCAAGGGGUGAAAGGGCAUCAAUAAUCAGUAAUUCUGUCACUAAUGGAAUUAGUUUGAUUAUUGUGAAGGAUACCAUCAUUACAUAAUGUUCUUCUCAAGAUACUGUGAUAUGCACUGGAGGAAAGCUAGCAAAAUGUAUUAUGAAUUCAAUGUAGAAGAAAAAAGUGAUCCUUUGUUCAGUUAGUCAACCAACAAUUAACAAAUACCUGAUCUGUGCCAGGUAUUUAGUGAUGGAUAAGACUCAGUGUCUCAAGGAACUUUGGGGUCUAGUAAGAAAAAGAAGCAUGCAAACAAGUUCAAAAGACAGUUUCAGGUGUGACCAUAGAGUGCAGUGUGGGAAAUAGGACAGAGUCUGUUCUGUGUGGGGAUGUGAGGACAGAAUAGAGUUACCUUCCCCAGAGUUAUCUUCUCUUGAACCUUCCACUGUACUGCUAGAGUUAUCUUUCUCACUUUCUUACCAGCUACUAAAUUAUAAAAUUAACAUCCAGGGAGUUGAGAACAUCUUUGCUUCUUUGCACUGAUUAGAUUGAAAACAACUUCAGAAAUCAUCAACUCUGACCCAGCCUUUAUAAAAAUGGUCAUCUGUUCUCUCUCACUCCACCCACCCCAAUCAUCUAUCUUGUCCCCUGAAUGUGAGCAACUAAGGGUGACCAGCUAUCCUGGUGUGGCCAGGAAUGGGGGGUGUCUUAGUAUCUAGGACUUUCAGUGCUAAGACCAGGACAGUCCCAGGUAGCUGGAAUGAGUCGGUCACCCAAGGAUGAGGUAGAAAGAUUUGGAAUUAAGCAACCUGGGUUAAAUCUAGGUUAAAUCCAUGACUAUGGGCAAACCUCUUAAUGCUUUAUGCCACUAGACAUAAGUAUGUCUCUGGAAUCCAAUGCCAGCCUGUGCAGAAGCGGGAGGAACAUUUCACCACGGCCUGCUGGGCCUCUCUUGUCCACUGGCUGGGCCAAGUCAACACAAGCACAUGUUUACAGUAAACAUUGACAUGACUAUCUUAGAAUUUCCCACUAUCACAGAUUCUUAUGAUCUAGUAAUAAAAUUGCAUUAGACAAAAAUAGAAUCUAUUUAACAACUUUUAAAUCAACUUCCCGAUUUUUAUUGGCUCCAUGAGGGCUGGGCAUCGUGAGUCCUAGCUUUGCCACUUAUUAGCUACAUGACCUUGAAUAAGGAGUUACUUUUUCUCAUCUGAAACAUGAUAAGUUUCAUUAUAAUGAUUAAAUGGGUAAAUAUGAGUAUUAGUCAUGAAACAGAGACUAUUUUUUUCUACUAGUUUUGUUGAGAUACAAUUGGCAUGCAGCACUGUAUAAGUUCAAGGUGUGUGCAAUGUAGGGAUUUGACUUACAUACAUCAUGAAAUGAUUUCACAGUAAAUUUAGUGAACCUCUUCUAAAGGUGGAAGUUUGUACCUUUUGACUGCCUUCAUCCAGUUCCCCCACCCUCAACCCCCUGCCACUGGUAACCACAAAUCUGAUCUCUUUUUCUAUGAGUUGUUUUGUUUUGUUUUAAUGGCCACACCUGCAGCAUAUGGAAGUUCCGGGGCCAGGGAUUGAAGCCACAACUCUGCAGCGACCUGAGGAUUCUUAACCCACUGCGCCACAGCAGGAACUCCUGGGUUUGUUUGUUGUUGAAGUAUAAUUGACCUAUAACACGGUUAGUUCCUGUUACACAGCAUAGUGAUUCAAUAUUUUGAUACAUUUCAAAAUGAUCAUUGUGAUAAGUCUAGUUACGACCAGUCACUAUACAAAUAUAUUACAUAGUUAUUGACUAUAUUCUCCACACUGUACAUUUUAUGCCCAUGACUCAUUUAUUUUGCACCUGGAAGUUUGUUCCUCUUAAGCUCUCUCACCUAUUUCUUUCCUCUCUCCUCCCCUUCCCCUC
RNAcentral lists this long non-coding RNA (6256 nucleotides) under Sus scrofa (pig). RNAcentral describes it as "lncRNA (ENSSSCG00000055057.1)". Lineage: Eukaryota; Metazoa; Chordata; Mammalia; Artiodactyla; Suidae. The record is from RNAcentral.